This 390-nucleotide unclassified non-coding RNA is filed under the name soil metagenome. RNAcentral's name for it is "partial contains 5.8S ribosomal RNA, internal transcribed spacer 2, and large subunit ribosomal RNA". The stretch from base 1 to 122 matches the Rfam family "5.8S ribosomal RNA", at positions 35 to 154 of the family's 154-position model. The record is from RNAcentral.
GAUGAAGAACGUAGCGAAAUGCGAUACUUGGUGUGAAUUGCAGAAUCCCGCGAAUCAUCGAGUUUUUGAACGCAAGUUGCGCCCGAAGCCAUUCGGGCGAGGGCACGUCUGCCUGGGUGUCACGCAUCGUUGCCCCCCCAAACUCCGGUUCGGGCGGGGCGGAAGUUGGCCUCCCGUGCGUGCCUGCGCGCGCGGUUAGCCCAAAAGCGAGUCCUCGGCGACGAGCGCCACGACAAUCGGUGGUUUUUUUACCCUCGUUCCUCGUCGUGCGUGUCCCGUCGCCCGAACGCGCUCUUGUGACCCUCACGCGUCGCCUCGGCGGCGCUCCCAACGCGACCCCAGGUCAGGCGGGACUACCCGCUGAGUUUAAGCAUAUCAAUAAGCGGAGGA